This 246-nucleotide long non-coding RNA is filed under the name Manihot esculenta (cassava). Its description in RNAcentral is "long non-coding RNA (MESC_LNC012587)". The record is from RNAcentral. Lineage: Eukaryota; Viridiplantae; Streptophyta; Magnoliopsida; Malpighiales; Euphorbiaceae.
GACAAAUGCCACAACGAAUAGCUGAUAAGUUAGCCAAGAUUCCUGGUGCAAUUGAUGAAAGCAAAUCCUCACUCUCACUCAAAGCAAUACACGCCAAAGGCAUGAAAGAAAUUCUGAAAAGUUUGAUUAAAAGCUGCCUCUUACAAUUGUUUCUUAUCCUUAUAUAGUAAGGAGAAAAACAAAUAAAACCCUAAGACACUCUUCUUGGACCUGAUUUAAACACAUAAGGCCCAAGCCCAAUCACAC